Long non-coding RNA from Callorhinus ursinus (northern fur seal), 1709 nucleotides. RefSeq lists it as uncharacterized. The record is from RefSeq and is a predicted model, not a curated record. NCBI's taxonomy places the organism in Eukaryota, Metazoa, Chordata, Mammalia, Carnivora, Otariidae.
UCAUGACCUGAGUCAAAAGCAGACACUUGACCAACUGAGCCAGCCAGGCAGCCCAGAAAUAUUUUCCUUUCACCUAGUAUUUGUUUAACAUGAAAAAGAUGUUUUACACUCAUUUCAUGUUUUGGUGAAUUUAGUUCUUGAAAGUGAAAGCUAAUAACAGUGUUCAUUUAUGAAUCACUCUGCACUCAGUGACGGGAGGUCUAUAUAUCAAUUUUAUCAAGGUUUUCCUAAUUUAUUCACAACCUAUGUAGCCAGUAAGUAGCAUUUCUUCCUACACUCAGGGGAAGCUUGUUGCACUUAAAGCACAACCCUCCUGUUUAAAAGCUGUACAGUUUCUGUUAGUUGUGCUCUGUUCUUUGGUUCAGAAAUUGCCUUGAAAUAGUUAAAACUACAACACACAAGGUAUGUUAUAAAAUGAUGAAAAUAAUACAAUAUUCAUGACUAUAGUACUAGAAAUAAUUCAGAUGAGCUUUAAUUCCUGAUUUUCCAUUUCUUAAUUUUUCCAUGUUAAUGAAGACCUAACUUAUAUUUUGUAUGUAUCAGAAAUUCAGAGGUACUGAUUUUCUUGUAUUUAUAAACUGCUGUGCGUAAAUCUGUUUAUUGCUAUAUUAUUAUUUUCUAAGAAAAUACUGCCCGAAUUCGCUCAGCAGAAGCAGCAGACUAUAGUACUUACAAACUCUCUAUUAAGUCUUUUUUUCUCCUGUAAGUUUUCUCCACAUAUAAUAAGCCGGGUCUGCAGAGUAAGGGCUAGCAAAUGCACCUUCACGGGUAACCACCGCAGUUUGAAGUGGCUGCAAGGGAUGUGUGAUGAUCAAGAAGUUGAAUCAAGAUCCAGGUUAUGUAUUUUAAUUUCCACAUUUUUACCACUUUGAGUGUUACUUCAUCUCCCUCUUUCCCGUGGGGGCAUGCUGAGGUUUCCCUCCCACUUUUCAUCAGUGGAUUGUCGGUGUUCUGGGUGCGGGGCAGAGAGUGAGUUUGCGUGCUGCUGCCCUAGGACUCCCCUGAAAGUGUGGCCGCAGAGACUGUCACGGGAGACUCUUCCUCACUUGGCCCCAGCCCAGCUUUCCAGCCUCAUCGGCCGCCUCCACGUGCCCUGCCGUUCUAACGUGUCCCUUCUUCCCGCAGCUCCUCAGGCUGUUGGUUCCAGCAGACAGGAGUCAUCCUCCUGGGGGCCUCACCUCUCCCUACCCUACGCUGUCGGUCCAGGUCAGCGCAGAUGCAGCCACCAUGAAGCCACCCUUGGUCCCUCCCUCCCCAGUCGGGAAGCAAGCAGCUGGAUGAGAGAAACAGGCAACGCUGAAGGCUCUCUCUCGGGGCACGUAAAACAAUCGAGGUCGGCUAAAGCAUAGGAGGCAUGUCAGGUAGUGGCCAGAGACCUUCAAAGGCACCUCUUUGUUUGGCCUUAAAGAGUAAUCCAGCCAUGCUCACUCAGGACAAGGUCGCCGCGGCUGCAGCCCUCACCACUGGGUCCUAUCCCAACGUCCAGUGCUGUGACGAAUGUAGCUUGUAUGCUGACUAUGACCGCCUGCCACCGUGCUUCUGUGACGUAAAUGAGGGACUCUGACUUGGGCGGGCACAGGUAUCUUCAUGCGCAGUAUUUCUUUCCCAGUAGAAUUUAUUAUUCAAGUCAGGUUCAAAUAGUGUUUACAUCAUAUUAUAUACUCUGUCACAUUAUGUAUUUUUGAAUAAAUGUGCAAUACUGAAAAUAA